CUUUUCCCCAGCACUUGGCAUAUCCUAUCUUGGAUCAGGUUUGGCUCCUUUGGCUCCUCGGUUGACUGAGCGCUCCCUGAGAGCAGGAACUGGGCCUCCUCCGCCUCUCUAACCCAACAACCCAGCAGGGCGCCUGGCACACAGUGGGUGCUCUAGAAAUGCUGGAAGAAGGGGAACGCGGAGUCGGGAGCCAUCUAUCUCAAUUACGGCUCGGCCUCUGCUUCUUUGCCCAUCUAAGAACACAACUCUAGAGAACUGGGCCAUCAGACACUUUUCUUCGGGGAAUAACACUGGAUUAAAAGGCAGUUCAAGGGGCCGGCCCCGUGGCCGAGAGAUUAAGUUCACGCACUCCGCUUCGGCAGCCCAGAGUUUCGCUGGUUCGGAUCCUGGGUGUGGACAUGGCCCCG
Equus quagga is the source of this 407-nucleotide long non-coding RNA. RefSeq lists it as uncharacterized. The record is from RefSeq and is a predicted model, not a curated record. The transcript is spliced from 3 exons. NCBI's taxonomy places the organism in Eukaryota, Metazoa, Chordata, Mammalia, Perissodactyla, Equidae.